Molecule: long non-coding RNA, 1719 nt
Organism: Cervus elaphus (red deer)
Lineage: Eukaryota; Metazoa; Chordata; Mammalia; Artiodactyla; Cervidae
Exons: 4
Source: RefSeq, a predicted model, not a curated record
AUGGAAUAACCUAGAUAAUCUCUAAGAGAUGUCUUUCUAGCUCUGAGAAAAUGUUUGUAAUUCUUGAUUAAAUUCUUACUGAGCUCCUAAAAAAAAUAAAUAAAUCCCAGCCAUCCCAGGGUUUUUUUAUCAUUUUAUGUAUAUGGAGAAAAAGGAGACAGAAACCUAAGCCUUUUUAUUCUGCAUUUAUUGGAAAGAGCUUUUGAACUACAAGUGCUUGGGGCCCCUGGGCCCUGAAGGAAAGCAGUCCUGGAUCUGAGCCACAAAUGGGAGCUUCCUUCAGCUUCUCCCACCUGCAGGCUUUGGCUCCCAAUUUGCACAAACCCUUCUUUGCUCUCUUCCUAAUUCAUCCUUUGAAGCCCAGGUUAGAUGGCAUGCCUGCGUGGCUCACAGGGCUUUGGAGCUCAAACUCCACCCUGGGUUGGCCUCCUGUGCCCUCCCUCCCUCCCUGCCCACGCUCCCUCUGCUGCUCGCCCUGCUGGCUCCUCGUGGAUCUGCGGGUACAGAGCACUCAGCAGUGUGUGUUCUGUGUGUUCUGGGAGGGAGCAAGCCCAGCUCCAGCUCAUCCAGGAGGCCUGGCACUGGAAAGGAUUCCAGCUCAGCCUACUGGCCAAGGUGCCAGUCACCAGAGAGGAAAGGGAUGGACCUGACUCUGCUCACAAUCCCACUCUAGAGAAACAUGAGCCUGGUAUGGAGCGACAAUUGUGAGGGAUUUAUUUCACAAAGAAAUGAGAGGAGUCCCUGCUUCACAACAGCGUUCCCCUACUCCCACCUUGAGAACUUCUGGAAACCAGUCCCAACCCUCUCCAGGAGAUUGUUGGAGAUUUUUGUCUACAGGGUAAGAUGAACUAACAGACCCUUGAGCUCUGGACCACUGGGCCUCAGGGUCAUAAACCAGAAGCAUCCAGCCUCCUGAAACAACAAUUAAGAAAUAUAAAAAAAAAACAAUGAUUAAUCCCAGCCUCUUUGUUCUUAAAAAACAAACAACAACAACAACAAAAAACUCAGACUCAGAGACCCAGUUGGAGCGGAUCUGAGGCUUGUCUCCCACUUCCUUGCUCGGUGCCCUGCGUGAAUCCUUCCUUUGCUGCAAACUCCCGAUGUGAGUCUGGCUUUCUGCCCUGUGGACACACAGACGCUUUGCUUGGUUAGUGCACUUGUGCUGAAUGUGCAGCUCCAUGGACCUCACAUUUGUACACACUUGAGACAACUCCCAGACAGAUGUAUAACAUUUUCCAGGGCCUGAAAGGCCCCUGUGCUCUCUCUCCGCCAAUACUCACUCCCCACUGAGGGGAUCUUCAAGGGAAGUCAUGGUCUAAUUGAGGUGGGUGGCAGUGAGCUUCCCUGAAGUGAGGGAAGGGUAAGAGGGUUUAGGGGUCUGAGAUAGUAGAUGGAGGUAUGUGCCACCUUGCACAAACCCUGGGAUUGAAAGGUUGUUGUUGAGCCAUGAAAGAUGCCAGGAUUCUUGGCCUCUGGAAGAGAAGAAUUCAAUCUGGGGCCAGUGAUGAGGCUUGAUCACUCAGAGCUUUUGUGUAAUGAAAUUUUAUUAAAGUAUUAAAAAGAUAGAGAAAGCUUGAGACAUGCCAUCAGAAGGGGGCACAAAGAGUGCCCCCCUGCUAAUCUUUAGCAGGAAGUUAUAUACCUACUAGGAAGCUAAUUAGAGAAAGGAAAUGUCUCAGUGUGAGACAUUUGGAUAUGAGAGUUGGGCUAUAAAGAAAG